AUCUAUAUAGUAUAAAGUAUAUGUGACUUCCAAUCAUAAGGUCUAUUAAAAUAGUGUAGAUA
This 62-nucleotide transfer RNA is filed under the name Micromorphus albipes. RNAcentral describes it as "tRNA-Gly". It matches the Rfam family "tRNA". Rfam says of the family: Transfer RNA (tRNA) molecules are approximately 80 nucleotides in length. Their secondary structure includes four short double-helical elements and three loops (D, anti-codon, and T loops). Further hydrogen bonds mediate the characteristic L-shaped molecular structure. tRNAs have two regions of fundamental functional importance: the anti-codon, which is responsible for specific mRNA codon recognition, and the 3' end, to which the tRNAs corresponding amino acid is attached (by aminoacyl-tRNA synthetases). tRNAs cope with the degeneracy of the genetic code in two manners: having more than one tRNA (with a specific anti-codon) for a particular amino acid; and 'wobble' base-pairing, i.e. permitting non-standard base-pairing at the 3rd anti-codon position. The record is from RNAcentral. Lineage: Eukaryota; Metazoa; Arthropoda; Insecta; Diptera; Dolichopodidae.